RNAcentral lists this ribosomal RNA (328 nucleotides) under uncultured eukaryote. RNAcentral describes it as "partial 18S ribosomal RNA". It matches the Rfam family "Eukaryotic small subunit ribosomal RNA", at positions 1470 to 1796 of the family's 1831-position model. The record is from RNAcentral.
CCCUUAGAUGUUCUGGGCCGCACGCGCGCUACACUGACGAAUGCAACGAGCUUAUAACCUUGGCCGAAAGGUCUGGGUAAUCUCCAAAUUUCGUCGUGAUGGGGAUAGAUUAUUGCAAUUAUUAAUCUUCAACGAGGAAUGCCUAGUAAGCGCAAGUCAUCAGCUUGCGUUGAUUACGUCCCUGCCCUUUGUACACACCGCCCGUCGCUGCCCGGAACUGAGCCAUUUCGAGAAAAAUGGGGACAGACUGCUUGUGGGUGCGCAAGCACUUCUUGCAGAUUGAAACCAUCUUGAUCGGUAUGGCUUGAACCGGGCAAAAGUCGUAACA